GACGAACGCUGGCGGCGUGCUUAACACAUGCAAGUCGAACGGAAAGGCCCUGCUUUUGUGGGGUGCUCGAGUGGCGAACGGGUGAGUAACACGUGAGUAACCUGCCCUUGACUUUGGGAUAACUUCAGGAAACUGGGGCUAAUACCGGAUAGGAGCUCCUGCUGCAUGGUGGGGGUUGGAAAGUUUAGGCGGUUGGGGAUGGACUCGCGGCUUAUCAGCUUGUUGGGUGGGUAGUGGCUUACCCAGGCUUUGACGGGUAGCCGGCCUGAGAGGGUGGACGGCGACAAUGGGCCUGCGAGAGGGACCAGACGGGUACGGGGGGCAGUAGUGGAGAAUAUUGCACAAUGGGGGGAAGUCUGAUGCAGAAGUGCCGCGUGCGGGAAGACGGCCUUGGGGUUGUAAACCGCUUUCGCCUGUGACGAAGCGUGAGUGACGGUAAUGGGUAAAGAAGCACCGGCUAACUACGUG
Molecule: ribosomal RNA, 468 nt
Filed under: uncultured bacterium
Lineage: Bacteria
Description: partial 16S ribosomal RNA
Rfam family: Bacterial small subunit ribosomal RNA
Source: RNAcentral